AUACGGAGGAUGCGAGCGUUGUCCGGAUUUAUUGGGUUUAAAGGGAGCGUAGGUGGGAUAUUAAGUCAGCUGUGAAAGUUUGGGGCUCAACCUUAAAAUUGCAGUUGAUACUGGUUUCCUUGAGUACGGUACAGGUGGGCGGAAUUCGUGGUGUAGCGGUGAAAUGCUUAGAUAUCACGAAGAACUCCGAUCGCGAAGGCAGCUCACCGGGCCGGAACUGACACUGAUGCUCGAAAGUGCGGGUAUCAAACAGGAUUAGAUACCCUGGUAGUCCGCACAGUAAACGAUGAAUACUCGCUGUUUGCGAUACAUGGUAAGCGGCCAAGCGAAAGCGUUAAGUAUUCCACCUGGGGAGUACGCCGGCAACGGUGAAACUCAAAGGAAUUGACGGGG
Molecule: ribosomal RNA, 393 nt
Filed under: uncultured bacterium
Lineage: Bacteria
Description: partial 16S ribosomal RNA
Rfam family: Bacterial small subunit ribosomal RNA
Source: RNAcentral